This 178-nucleotide non-coding RNA is filed under the name Desulfomicrobiaceae bacterium. RNAcentral describes it as "6S RNA". It matches the Rfam family "6S / SsrS RNA". From Rfam's summary of the family: E. coli 6S RNA was the first non coding RNA to be sequenced, but its function was unknown until recently. It consists of 184 nucleotides that fold into an extended hairpin structure with a large single-stranded internal bulge. The record is from RNAcentral. Lineage: Bacteria; Pseudomonadati; Thermodesulfobacteriota; Desulfovibrionia; Desulfovibrionales; Desulfomicrobiaceae.
CAAACCCUGGAGAGUGCGUGAUCGAUAACGCGUUUUUGAGCCAAUAACGCAGAACUAGGGUAGCUUCGUGGCCUGGUGUGCAUGCAUCCCUCGAGGAUGAAGCCUAAAAGGUCACCGCCGACCCCCUCUUGACGAAAGAGGUUCAAAAGAGUUCUCGACACGGCUCUCCGGGGUCCUU